AACCAAAUGAAGAUCAGCGAGAGAAAGUGCUCGUGGCCAACCUCUGCUUGAUCCUCGACGUGUCUGGCCAGCUGACUGAGCGCCAAGCAACCCUGGUAGACAAGGAGUCAUUGUGCGUGAGGAGCGCGGCAAGGUGUGGUGUAGCUCCAGCUUCGAUCACAACUUGGGACAACUCCGGGGAUGGAAGAAGAGAUUGCUGAGCUUUUACAUACCUGGACGCAAAGAAUGAGGAAUCCAAUCGCUCGAGCGUCCGCCACGGCCUGGGCGAGACGAGCGUUGUGCCUGGCGAUGUUGG
Long non-coding RNA from Selaginella moellendorffii, 295 nucleotides. RefSeq lists it as uncharacterized. The record is from RefSeq and is a predicted model, not a curated record. NCBI's taxonomy places the organism in Eukaryota, Viridiplantae, Streptophyta, Lycopodiopsida, Selaginellales, Selaginellaceae. The transcript is spliced from 3 exons.